RNAcentral lists this transfer RNA (85 nucleotides) under Parapedobacter indicus. It matches the Rfam family "tRNA". Rfam says of the family: Transfer RNA (tRNA) molecules are approximately 80 nucleotides in length. Their secondary structure includes four short double-helical elements and three loops (D, anti-codon, and T loops). Lineage: Bacteria; Pseudomonadati; Bacteroidota; Sphingobacteriia; Sphingobacteriales; Sphingobacteriaceae. The record is from Rfam by way of RNAcentral.
GGAGGUGGCUGAGCGGCCGAAAGCGCUAGUUUGAAAAUCUAGUGUACUGGAAACGGUACCGUGGGUUCGAAUCCCACCCUCUCCG